CAGAAGAAACGCCUCUUGAUGCCACGCGUUGCUUUCGUAGUGUUUUGGGAGGAGAAAACGAGGGGAGAAAAAAUCAGUUUGAAGGGGAAGAAAAAAGUUUGGUCUCGGUUUCCUCCUUUUCAUCUCCACGUUGAUUUCUUCUGGGUUUUAUGAUUCUUGUUCAAGUCUUUGAUCAGAUUAUUUAAUCGCAUCAAAGACCCAAUUUUUAAUUUGUCUGCGUGAUCAUCCUCAGAUGGGUGGAUCAGACGAGAACAAACACGGAGUUAUCGGACCCAUGAACCCACAAGGUGGUUUACGUGGAGGAAAGGUGAAUCCGGCGAAUGGGCAGACACGAAGAGCACUCAG
This is a long non-coding RNA of Brassica oleracea var. oleracea, 345 nucleotides long. RefSeq lists it as uncharacterized. The transcript is spliced from 2 exons. The record is from RefSeq and is a predicted model, not a curated record. NCBI's taxonomy places the organism in Eukaryota, Viridiplantae, Streptophyta, Magnoliopsida, Brassicales, Brassicaceae.